RNAcentral lists this long non-coding RNA (1448 nucleotides) under Homo sapiens (human). RNAcentral describes it as "HSALNT0387789". The record is from RNAcentral. Lineage: Eukaryota; Metazoa; Chordata; Mammalia; Primates; Hominidae.
AAGCCGAGGCCAGGGCUCUCGGAACACGCUGGCUCUGAGGCCCAUCCUAUUCGGGGUUGUUCUCUGCUCAGUUAAACUCUGUUCAAUACAGCGUGUCUAAGGUUUUUCCCUUUUGACAGGCUCCAGGACUGAAGCCGCAGAGGCCACUCCCACAGGUCACCAGAAACUAAGACGUGAGUGACGCCCGGCAGUGGCCGACUCUUCCGCCGUGGCUGUGCCCAUGGGAGACGUGAGUGACGCCCGGCAGUGGCCGACUCUUCUGCGGUGGCUGCGCCCACGGGAGACGUGAGUGACCCCGGCAGUGGCCGACUUCCACGGUGGCUGCGCCCACGGGAGACGUGAGUGAUGCCCGGCAGUGGCCAACUCUUCUGCGGUGGCUGUGCCCACGGGAGACGUGAGUGACGCCCGGCAGUGGCUUACUCUUUCGUGGUAGCUGCGCCCACGACUUCUGGAGACAUCAGAGGCUUCCAGGCCCCACUGUUUUCUGCAUUUGGCCACUGCCCACGCUUCUGGGGCUGAGGUCUCCCUCUUGGGGCCCUUUUCAGCCCCUAAAGAUCUCCUAGCCUCCGAACCUGAAAUGGCUCCCCCAAAUUGCAGAGGAGGUGGGGAAGUGGCAGCCACAGCUCAGUCACCAGCCUGCUCUGCCGCCUGUGAAGCUGCAGCUGGCAGCAACACCCCAACCAAAAUAGUGGCUGAGACGUGCCCGACAGCUGGCGUUUAUUUCUGUAUUAGCAGAAUCGGGUGGGAGUCAGCACCUGCCUGACCCGGCUGCAGCAUGCCAGACGCCGUCACCUGCUGCCUGGGCCCUGGAACCCUCCGCAAGAUACCAGCCAGGCCUCACGGCAGCCCUUGCUGGGCCCUGCAUUAACUCCCCCAGGCCUUGGACUCUGAGAGUUGGGACUCUCGUCUGGCCCAGGUGACAGAGGAGGAAACUGAGAAGCAGAGAGCCACGUGACUCACCUGUGGGUGGACUGUGGGAAUCGCCAAGCUCGGAUGAGAACCACGUGGGCAGUUCCAGGCCCGAGGCCGCCCACCCCGGGGGGAGAGGCUCCCCGGAGCAUCUGAGUCUGCAGCCCACUGGGGUGUCCGCCCGUGCAGCCACCAAGCCUGCUGGCCCUAGUACACCUCGCCACGCUCCCUCAGCCCGAGAGAGCCGGCCGGGCUGGCUGCAGCCCCAGAGGAGGUUCCCUCUCUUACCCAGAGGGGAGCAGGGUGAGCCGCGUGUCCACGGCACCCCCAGCCCAGAUCCCCGGAGCCCACAGGUACCUGUCGGGCGUCCUCCUCUUGCCGUUCUCGUUGACUUCCAGUAGCAGCUCUGAGGAGUCGAUGGGGGAGGAGGCGCUGGCGUCCAGCAGGAGCUGCUCAUGCUGGGCCAAGUACUGGGCGGGCGUCUGCUUGGCCAGGCGUGCACAGUGCAGGAGCUCCCGCUGCAGCAAGGGCAGGUUUGC